GACGAACGCUGGCGGCGUGCUUAACACAUGCAAGUCGAACGGAAAGGCCCUGCUUUUGUGGGGUGCUCGAGUGGCGAACGGGUGAGUAACACGUGAGUAACCUGCCCUUGACUUUGGGAUAACUUCAGGAAACUGGGGCUAAUACCGGAUAGGAGCUCCUGCUGCAUGGUGGGGGUUGGAAAGUUUCGGCGGUUGGGGAUGGACUCGCGGCUUAUCAGCUUGUUGGUGGGGUAGUGGCUUACCAAGGCUUUGACGGGUAGCCGGCCUGAGAGGGUGACCGGCCACAUUGGGACUGAGAUACGGCCCAGACUCCUACGGGAGGCAGCAGUGGGGAAUAUUGCACAAUGGGCGGACGCCUGAUGCAGCAACGCCGCGUGCGGGAUGACGGCCUUCGGGUUGUAAACCGCUUUCGCCUGUGACGAAGCGUGAGUGACGGUAAUGGGUAAAGAAGCACCGGCUAACUACGUG
Molecule: ribosomal RNA, 468 nt
Filed under: uncultured bacterium
Lineage: Bacteria
Description: partial 16S ribosomal RNA
Rfam family: Bacterial small subunit ribosomal RNA
Source: RNAcentral